GUUUCGUUUUUAGGUAUUUUAACAGUUUUUUCCCCCUUCUCCAUUCCAAGUUUUGUGAGAAACGGAAGUAUUUUGACCUAAAGCUGUAAAGGGGGGUUUGGAACCCCGGAAAGGGUUUUAAAAUGUUGCACACCGUUCUGUCUCCAGACUAGACUGUCCGCUCCAACUGGUGGUGGGCUGGGACUGCAUACUCCUGCGCUCCGGGUGGGCGUGAGGAGAGUGCUCACUACCUACCUGACAGCCUUUCUGCUUAAUUUCAACCCACAUCUCUGAUACCUUACCAUCGCCACCGGGAAGAGUUCUGCCUGCAUUUUGGCACGGAGUCUGAAUCGAUAUUUCAAAUUAUAGUAUGCAUACUUUUUUGCAUAAUAAUUAACCGGUGUAUCCGGUCAAUUUUCGUAGAGUAUUUUCUUUAGGAUCAGAACAAAUAAGACAAUUAUCAUAAUAAAGAUUUGUUUCACCUGGACUGGAUCUUCUGUCUUCUGGAAGUAAAUUACUGCGUGAUGAAAAUGGAUUUGUUUUUCUCUACCUUCUAACCGCAGUUAACUAGGUUUUGAUGACUUUUCACUGUUGUAACUUAACUCCUCUGCCUGAUUUUGUGCCCCCAGAUUUACAUGUUGGGACAGGAACAUUUUUUUAUCUCUUGAAAACUUUGGGUUUUUUUUUAGUAUCACCAGGUGGGAAUAAAUACAUUAAGCACGUUCUAAUGCG
RNAcentral lists this long non-coding RNA (711 nucleotides) under Bos taurus (domestic cattle). RNAcentral's name for it is "long non-coding RNA NONBTAT007553". The record is from RNAcentral. Lineage: Eukaryota; Metazoa; Chordata; Mammalia; Artiodactyla; Bovidae.